Long non-coding RNA from Vicia villosa (hairy vetch), 739 nucleotides. RefSeq lists it as uncharacterized. NCBI's taxonomy places the organism in Eukaryota, Viridiplantae, Streptophyta, Magnoliopsida, Fabales, Fabaceae. The transcript has 4 exons. The record is from RefSeq and is a predicted model, not a curated record.
UAAUCAAAUUCCUUCAUUCUCACUUCUCUCUCAUUCUCGUCUAAUCCUUCCUUUCUCAAAACCCUAGCUGCACAACCUUACACUUCUCACUUCUCUCCAUUUUCUCUCUUCUCCCUCUCUCCAUUCAACUCGUCUCUCACAUCCGUUUCUUCCAUCUUCAUAGCCCUGUUCGGAUCAUCAUUGGUCGCAAACGAAAAGUUCCAACACAUUCUUCCUGUGUUGAACACCAACGUUGAUGGAAAGCAGAAGAUCAUGUUUGCUCUUACCUCAACCAAAGGUAUUGGGAGAAGAUUCGCUAACAUUUGUUGCAAGAAAGCUAAUGUCAACAUGAACAAGAGGGGUUUUGAUUUCAAAAGAAAGAAGCAAGUAAACAAGUUUCUUUUUGGUGGAUUCAUAGAAGAGAAAAAAAGGUGGAUUCAUAGCUACCAUGUUUCUUUUUGGCCUACUAUUUAUGUUACAUCUAAAGGAAAUUUUCAGAUUGGAAGUAGUAAGUUUUUGCAUCAGUUCAAGAUAUUAUUAUUUUCAUUUCUUGGUGAAAAAUCCGUUGUACUAGGUUUUUGUAAGCUUAGAUAUUACUGAAAUCACUCAUCGCUUUGGGGAGGCAUUAUAAAGGGUUUCUUGCCCCAUAUAUGGUUAUUCUUAUUAAAUCUCACAUUAUGUUAGUAUGCUACAAAUCUAUUCCUGCAGGAAGAUGUUGUAAGAAAAAGUAUGAAGGGAGAUUGCCAAAGAGCCUCCACUA